Molecule: ribosomal RNA, 497 nt
Filed under: uncultured bacterium
Lineage: Bacteria
Description: partial 16S ribosomal RNA
Rfam family: Bacterial small subunit ribosomal RNA
Source: RNAcentral
GAUGAACGCUGGCGGCGUGCCUAAUACAUGCAAGUCGAGCGAACGGACGCGAAGCUUGCUUCUCUGAUGUUUGCGGAGGACGGGUGAGUAACACGUGGAUCACCUACCUAUAAGACUGGUAUCACUUCGGGACACCGGAGAUAAUCCCGGAUAAUAUUUUGCACCGCAUUGUUCAUAAGUGAAAGACGGUCUUUCUGCCACUUCUCGAUGGUUCCGAGCUGCAUUAGGUAGUUGGUAAGGUCACGGCUUUCCACGGCAACGAUGCGUAGACGAACUGACAGGGGGAUCGGCCACACUGGAGCGGAGACACGGUCCAGACUCCUGAGAGAGGCAGCAGUAGGGAAUCGUCCGCAGUGGGCGGAAGCCUGACGGAGCAACGCCGCGUGAGUGAUGGAGGUCUUGGGAGCGUAAAACUCUGUUAUUAGGGAAGAACAUAUGUGGAAGGAACUGUGCACAGCUUGACGGUACCUAAUCAGAAAGCCACGGCUAACUACGUG